UGUGUAUAACCAAGUUCCUGAGCAUCUUGUUGAACUCUAACUCCCGAAGCAGCAAACAAUGAAGGAAAGGAAGGCUGUUGCAACUGCUGUUGGUGGCGAAACUGUGUUUGGAACUGAGCUUGUAGUUGUAAUUGUUGUGCUUGUGGCACUUGCUGAGCGGGCAGAACUUGAGGCUGUUGAAUUGGAGAUUUUUGUUGCAAUUGCUGCUGCUGUGGUGCUUGUUCAAAUAAUGUCAACUCCUCCGGUUUCUCCCACUGGCUUUCUCGAGUUACACUGUUGUAAUAGUACUUGAAACCCUCAAGAGAGGUAUGCUCUGUCCAAUUACAUUUUACAGGAGCCACUGGCUGAGUUACUACAGGUGCACCAGAAGCAGAAGUAGAUGGAGGCAC
RNAcentral lists this unclassified non-coding RNA (389 nucleotides) under Hevea brasiliensis (rubber tree). The record is from RNAcentral. Lineage: Eukaryota; Viridiplantae; Streptophyta; Magnoliopsida; Malpighiales; Euphorbiaceae.